This 1004-nucleotide ribosomal RNA is filed under the name Stenotrophomonas sp. ME67. Its description in RNAcentral is "bacterial SSU rRNA". It matches the Rfam family "Bacterial small subunit ribosomal RNA", at positions 31 to 1047 of the family's 1533-position model. The record is from RNAcentral. Lineage: Bacteria; Pseudomonadati; Pseudomonadota; Gammaproteobacteria; Lysobacterales; Lysobacteraceae.
AGACGUAGCGUAGGCCUAAACUGCAGUCGAACGGCAGCACAGGAGAGCUUGCUCUCUGGGUGGCGAGUGGCGGACGGGUGAGGAAUACAUCGGAAUCUACUUUUUCGUGGGGGAUAACGUAGGGAAACUUACGCUAAUACCGCAUACGACCUACGGGUGAAAGCAGGGGAUCUUCGGACCUUGCGCGAUUGAAUGAGCCGAUGUCGGAUUAUCUAGUUGGCGGGGUAAAGGCCCACCAAGGCGACGAUCCGUAGCUGGUCUGAGAGGAUGAUCAGCCACACUGGAACUGAGACACGGUCCAGACUCCUACGGGAGGCAGCAGUGGGGAAUAUUGGACAAUGGGCGCAAGCCUGAUCCAGCCAUACCGCGUGGGUGAAAAAGGCCUUCGGGUUGUAAAGCCCUUUUGUUGGGAAAGAAAUCCAGCUGGUUAAUACCCGGUUGGGAUGACGGUACCCAAAGAAUAAGCACCGGCUAACUUCUUGCCACCAGCCGCGGUAAUACGAAGGGUGCAAGCGUUACUCGGAAUUACUGGGCGUAAAGCGUGCGUAGGUGGUCGUUUAAAUCCGUUGUGAAAGCCCUGGGCUCAACCUGGGAACUGCAGUGGAUACUGGGCGACUAUAAUGUGGUAGAGGGUAGCGGAAUUCCUGGUGUAUCAGUGAAAUGCGUAGAGAUCACGAGGAACAUCCAUGGCGAAGGCAGCUACCUGGACCAACAUUGACACUGAGGCACGAAAAGCGUGUGGAGCAAACAGGAUUAGAUACCCUGGUAGUCCACGCCCUAUACGAUGCGAACUGGAUGUUGUGUGCAAUUUGGCACGCAGUAUCGAAGCUAACGCGUUAGUUCGCCGCCUGGGGAGUACGGUCGCAAGACUGAACUCAAGAAUUGACGGGGGGCCGCACAAACGUGGAGUAUGUGGUUUAAUUCGAUGCAACGCGAGAACCUUACUUGUCUGACAUGUCCAGAACUUCCGAAUGAUGUGCUCGAACUCGACACAGUGCUGCAUG